This 801-nucleotide ribosomal RNA is filed under the name uncultured bacterium. Its description in RNAcentral is "bacterial SSU rRNA". It matches the Rfam family "Bacterial small subunit ribosomal RNA", at positions 74 to 897 of the family's 1533-position model. The record is from RNAcentral.
UGCUAUAAUUGUCAGCUAAGUGGCGCACGGGUGAGUAAUGUAUAGAUAACCUGCCCUCAAGAAAGGAAUAACAGUUGGAAACGACUGCUAAUGCCCUAUAUGCCUUUAAUACAUAAGUAUGCAAGGGAAACGCUUUAGUGCUUAAGGAUGGGUCUGUAUGGUAUCAGCUUGUUGGUGAGGUAAUGGCUCACCAAGGCUAUGACGCCUAACUGGUUUGAGAGGAUGAUCAGUCACACUGGAACUGAGACACGGUCCAGACUCCUACGGGAGGCAGCAGUGGGGAAUAUUGCACAAUGGACGAAAGUCUGAUGCAGCAACGCCGCGUGGAGGAUGACACAUUUCGGUGCGUAAACUCCUUUUAUAUAGGAAGAUAAUGACGGUACUAUAUGAAUAAGCACCGGCUAACUCCGUGCCAGCAGCCGCGGUAAUACGGAGGGUGCAAGCGUUACUCGGAAUCACUGGGCGUAAAGAGCGUGUAGGCGGGUAUAUAAGUCAGAAGUGAAAUCCAAUAGCUCAACUAUUGAACUGCUUUGAAACUGUAUACCUAGAAUGUGGGAGAGGUAGAUGGAAUUUCUGGUGUAGGGGUAAAAUCCGUAGAGAUCAGAAGGAAUACCGAUUGCGAAGGCGAUCUACUGGAACAUUAUUGACGCUGAGACGCGAAAGCGUGGGGAGCAAACAGGAUUAGAUACCCUGGUAGUCCACGCCCUAAACGAUGUACACUAGUUGUUGUGAGGCUCGACCUUGCAGUAAUGCAGUUAACACAUUAAGUGUACCGCCUGGGGAGUACGGUCGCAAGAUUAA